RNAcentral lists this long non-coding RNA (779 nucleotides) under Sinocyclocheilus grahami. RNAcentral describes it as "lncRNA (ENSSGRG00000006066.1)". Lineage: Eukaryota; Metazoa; Chordata; Actinopteri; Cypriniformes; Cyprinidae. The record is from RNAcentral.
GCUGAAAUGAAGAAAACAGCCCUCAGUGGACAGUCAAACUUUACUCAGUGCAGACGUUCUGGAGGAAUUAUAACCUUGCUAAAACAAUCGCAUGAAGACACAUGGAGGCUGCGGUACAGUGUGGUUCAGGGUUUGGCACAGAUCAGCCGCAGGAUCACGCUUCAGGAUGGUUUGAGGAACACAGCCUGGUUAACGCUGCAGAAGCACCUGAAGCAGGAGACAGACCCCCGUGUCAUGAAUGUUGUGAGGAUCACUGAGGGUGAUAAAAGGCUUCUGGAAAACCACAGAGAGAGGAUGAGAAGUUCCCACACAGUUGAAGUGUGCAUAUGUGCACAGAGCGAGCGGAUCACUGGUCGGCUAGCACACUCUCUUUCCCAGAUCUGCUCUCCAGUUCAGCUCACUACUCAUUCUGCAGACCACCGGCACAGAAUAAAAACCACCAAACCCAGGAAAGAGGCAGUUUCCGCAGCCAGGGCCGGAAGAGGCCGCCCUGAACUGAUCACACCCCACUCCAUUACGAAAGACCAUCACAAGACACCAAGGUUAUUGGCUUCUCUUCUAAAAAAUUGCAUCUGCUACACUAACAGAAAAGUACUGUACAUCACGGGAAUACCAUAUUUUUGAAAGAAGUUUCUUAUGCUCACCAAGCUGCAUUCAUUUGAUCAAAAAUACAGUAAAAGCAGUAAUAUUGUGAAAUAGUAUCACAAACUGUGUUCUGUUUUAUUAUCUUUUAAAAUGUCAUUUAUUCCUGAUGACUCAUCUGAAUCUUCAGCACCCAU